AUAUAUAUAUAUCAAACUUCUCUUGUUGAUUGGUUUGGAUGUGGGGGUUUGCUGGCCUUUUUAAAAAGUUCAGCUCCUCUGAAAUGCAUUAGCAGAACAAACCUUGUUCAUUGGUGUGAUAACUAUCUACGCUAUUGAAUGUGAGGGGCAGUUCAGCUUUCUAACAGUCCUCGGACAAUUCAAUCAUUA
This 189-nucleotide unclassified non-coding RNA is filed under the name uncultured Cortinarius. RNAcentral's name for it is "sequence contains ITS2". The record is from RNAcentral. Lineage: Eukaryota; Fungi; Basidiomycota; Agaricomycetes; Agaricales; Cortinariaceae.